UCCUUCUUUGGCCCUCUUUGUCCGGCCUUAUUGGGCGUAAAGCGCGCGCCUGCGGUUCCUUAAGUCUGAUGUGAAAGCCCACGGCUCAACCGUGGGGGGUCAUUGGAAACUGGGGGACUUGAGUGCAGAAGAGGAGAGCGGAAUUCCACGUGUAGCGGUGAAAUGCGUAGAGAUGUGGAGGAACACCAGUGGCGAAGGCGGCUCUCUGGUCUGUAACUGACGCUGAGGCGCGAAAUAGUGGGGAGCAAACAGG
This 253-nucleotide ribosomal RNA is filed under the name uncultured bacterium. RNAcentral describes it as "partial 16S ribosomal RNA". It matches the Rfam family "Bacterial small subunit ribosomal RNA", at positions 524 to 776 of the family's 1533-position model. The record is from RNAcentral.